GACGAACGCNGGCGGCGUGCCUAAUACAUGCAAGUCGAACGCUUCUUUUUCCACCGGAGCUUGCUCCACCGGAAAAAGAGGAGUGGCGAACGGGUGAGUAACACGUGGGUAACCUGCCCAUCAGAAGGGGAUAACACUUGGAAACAGGUGCUAAUACCGUAUAACAAUCGAAACCGCAUGGUUUUGAUUUGAAAGGCGCUUUCGGGUGUCGCUGAUGGAUGGACCCGCGGUGCAUUAGCUAGUUGGUGAGGUAACGGCUCACCAAGGCGACGAUGCAUAGCCGACCUGAGAGGGUGAUCGGCCACAUUGGGACUGAGACACGGCCCAAACUCCUACGGGAGGCAGCAGUAGGGAAUCUUCGGCAAUGGACGAAAGUCUGACCGAGCAACGCCGCGUGAGUGAAGAAGGUUUUCGGAUCGUAAAACUCUGUUGUUAGAGAAGAACAAGGAUGAGAGUAACUGUUCAUCCCUUGACGGUAUCUAACCAGAAAGCCACGGCUAACUACGUGCCAGCAGCCGCGGUAAUACGUAGGUGGCAAGCGUUGUCCGGAUUUAUUGGGCGUAAAGCGAGCGCAGGCGGUUUCUUAAGUCUGAUGUGAAAGCCCCCGGCUCAACCGGGGAGGGUCAUUGGAAACUGGGAGACUUGAGUGCAGAAGAGGAGAGUGGAAUUCCAUGUGUAGCGGUGAAAUGCGUAGAUAUAUGGAGGAACACCAGUGGCGAAGGCGGCUCUCUGGUCUGUAACUGACGCUGAGGCUCGAAAGCGUGGGGAGCAAACAGGAUUAGAUACCCUGGUAGUCCACGCCGUAAACGAUGAGUGCUAAGUGUUGGAGGGUUUCCGCCCUUCAGUGCUGCAGCUAACGCAUUAAGCACUCCGCCUGGGGAGUACGACCGCAAGGUUGAAACUCAAAGGAAUUGACGGGGGCCCGCACAAGCGGUGGAGCAUGUGGUUUAAUUCGAAGCAACGCGAAGAACCUUACCAGGUCUUGACAUCCUUUGACCACUCUAGAGAUAGAGCUUCCCCUUCGGGGGCAAAGUGACAGGUGGUGCAUGGUUGUCGUCAGCUCGUGUCGUGAGAUGUUGGGUUAAGUCCCGCAACGAGCGCAACCCUUAUUGUUAGUUGCCAUCAUUUAGUUGGGCACUCUAGCAAGACUGCCGGUGACAAACCGGAGGAAGGUGGGGAUGACGUCAAAUCAUCAUGCCCCUUAUGACCUGGGCUACACACGUGCUACAAUGGGAAGUACAACGAGUCGCAAAGUCGCGAGGCUAAGCUAAUCUCUUAAAGCUUCUCUCAGUUCGGAUUGUAGGCUGCAACUCGCCUACAUGAAGCCGGAAUCGCUAGUAAUCGCGGAUCAGCACGCCGCGGUGAAUACGUUCCCGGGCCUUGUACACACCGCCCGUCACACCACGAGAGUUUGUAACACCCGAAGUCGGUGAGGUAACCUUUUGGAGCCAGCCGCCUAAGGUGGGAUAGAUGAUUGGGGUGAAG
RNAcentral lists this ribosomal RNA (1485 nucleotides) under Enterococcus sp. NBRC 107225. RNAcentral describes it as "bacterial SSU rRNA". It matches the Rfam family "Bacterial small subunit ribosomal RNA". The record is from RNAcentral. Lineage: Bacteria; Bacillati; Bacillota; Bacilli; Lactobacillales; Enterococcaceae.